Molecule: long non-coding RNA, 3064 nt
Filed under: Mus musculus (house mouse)
Lineage: Eukaryota; Metazoa; Chordata; Mammalia; Rodentia; Muridae
Description: long non-coding RNA chr12:75308421-75311485
Source: RNAcentral
AGUUGUGUGGUGGAAAACCGGGCAGGAGUUAUCCAAAUCCCACCGUGUCAUUAGCCAGGCUGGGGAUGGGGAGGGUAGAGUGAGAUUCUCACGGGCUGCUGAUAUUUCUAGACUGCCAGGAAGUCCCGGGAAGUCUAUGGACAUGAGAGUUUCUUAACUCCAGCUCUACCCCCAACUCCACUUCUCCGUUGGGAUUGGGAGAAAGGGACAGACCCUUUUCAUCCCUCCUCCCAAGAGUGCCUUCCUUCUCCAGCAUGGUGAGCUGCGGGGCUCGAGUGUGUCUGGGCUGUGCCUGGGAGAGCCCGGCCAGCCAGAGUCAGGCCGCCUGAGCUCCAGCCUGGGGCCGGUGCCACCGCUCCAUGCACUGCAGAAGCCCCAGCAGCUGCUGCGGGAGCCGCCAACAUGAGCUGCAGAGAGAGGACCGACAGCAGCUGCGGCUGCAAUGGACAUGAGGAGAACAGGAUCCUGAAGUGCGUGGUGGUCGGGGACGGCGCGGUGGGGAAGACCUGCUUGCUGAUGAGCUACGCCAACGACGCCUUCCCAGAGGAAUACGUGCCCACUGUGUUUGACCACUACGCAGGUAGGAAAGCGUGGGGACCAACUCCGUCUAGAUGAGCGGUGGGGUUCUGGGCACAGCUACCUAGCGUUCAGAGGGACCUGGCUUUCGCCAGAAAGUCACAGACUGAUGUGGAUCUGGCAGGUACCAGGUAACUCCAUCAAGAAUGGUGCUAGGAUCCUGCGGAGACCCUGUACAUCCAUUCACAUGCUUCUCCUAUUGAAACAAAUGUGCAAUCCUGGGGAAAUAUCCUCCAGAAAUGUUUCUCAACAUUUUUGCCUAAACUUUCUUCAACUUUUCACGGUAAUUAUUUUUUUUUGAAGUGUAGUGUAUUGCAAAAUAUUCCAUUUUAAAAAAAUCACCGCUAGACACAUGGAAAGUGUUCUACUCUCUAAACUUUUUCUACUCCAUGCUAGUCAUGAUCAAACGGCUAAUAGAACCAGCUAAUAAAACCUUCUUUUUUUUUUUUCCUGGAUUACUUGGGGCUUAAAUUUUGUACUUUCACUCUUCUGGGAUGGUAGAUAAGGAGAAAAGUGUCCCACGCUUUUAAAUACUAAGUGGAAAAUUAAGUAAAAGAUGGCUAUGUUUUUUAAAGUAAAAAAUUCAAAUGCAAUUAAAUCGUUUUCAACUAUGUCCUGAAAAGACAAAUUUGAGUAUCUAGUAUUUUAAACCGUGAUCACCCCGAUGCUGUAGUCACAACUUAAUCCUUUCAGGGGAGUUUUAGUGUUUGAGGGUUUGAAGGUUUGUGGUGAUGUCAGUCAGCAUCAUGCCUUGUUUCUUGACAUAGCUGCCACCCCUAAGCUUCCCCUAUGUGAACUGACCCGUUGCCUUGGACUUACUGUGGCCUCAGUUUUAUAGUGCUUUUGAACACUUCGAUCGAUUGCCCUUGAGUUAUCAGAGCUCUGGGGUCUGGUGGAAGGGAAAUGUCUCUCUCUUCACCUUGGCUUGGGAUCAGGAUCAGCCUAAAGGAAGCCCUCACAGGAAGUCAGCCUGGAGCUCUGCUGUGUGGCCAUUUGAAAUCCUCCCUCCAUAGGAAGCAGACGCUUGUCAUCCUCUCUGGAGGGCUCCCCCCACCCCCAUCUUCCCUUCCUUUUAAGUGGACCUAUUUGCAGCAGUGGUACACAGCUGACAGGGGAGGGAUUCGCAGCUGGCAAGGGCGUCCAUUUCCUAUUAGGUCUUUCACUCUGUAGAAAUUACCUAGAAAUUUGAAGACCAAAUUCCUGAGCUUUUCUGAAAACAUAGUGAGUUUGGCCAAGGAAGAACUUUUUAAUGAGAACACAAAAAGACAAAAAGAGGUUUAUCUUGAGGGGGAAAAAUGUUGUAAAGUGCUUUGAGGAAGGGACUCUAAUUCCGGUCCUGAAAAACAUCAUAGCAGAAAUUAUUUCUCCUGUGUCUUCUUCAUGCUUGACAGGAAGGUGGCAAGUACUUUAUUUCAGGAACUUUCUGAUCAAAGACAGAACCGAAAAUCUACUAAAAGGAAAGGCUCUUAGUGCCUGGGAAAUUAUGUCUCCAGAUACCCGUCCUUCGGGUGAGCCAAUCGAAGUGGUGUUGGGAAGAAAGACAAAACCAUCUUUGGAAAUAAAGCUAGCCUAUGAUGGAAAAAAACAUUAGAGGUCAAACCAGCUGGACUUUGCUGGCACUGGGUUACUUUAUGUUUCAAUUAUAUGCACACUGGCUGGUGGUUGAGCACCAAAACCUCUCAAAGAAGUUUUAAUACUUGAGUUUUUCAGGAACUAAACUGUAUAAUUUCAGCUUCCAAGAACUCACAGCCCCGAAACUCAGAGCAGUACUUUGUACACAGUAGACAUUCCUGAACAUGGUGACUUCCGUUUAUUCUAUAUACUUCUUUCAUACAUGAUAUCUCACGUGCUAUCCAUGUGGUUAAAGCAGGGAAAGGCGUGAGCCACGCUCACACGAGAGACUCUUGAGUGCUGAUUUCUAUCCCAAGGACCCAGCCCUGCUCAUACUUGCUCUGGCCGAGCAUCAGCCCGUGGGCGGCCAUCAGGGAGCAGAUCAGUUCUAAAAUAACCAAACGCCCCCUUUCGCAUCUGGAUCCAGUUUUCAGUUCCCUGGGUCCUACUGACCCACUCUGAUAGAACAACAGGAAACACAUCUGCCGUGUCUUUUGAAAAAAAAAAAACUGCAGUUGAAAUCAAAGACAGCCUGUCUCUUAAAGAUAGUUCACGAAUGAUGGUCCACGCCAGGAAAGUAUGUAAUGUAGUAGGACUGAGUACAACAAUACCACAUGACCUGGCUCUAAUACUGCCUUCUCUGUCACUUACUCUGUGGCCUUGAGAAAGUUACUGAACCUCUUUGUGCCUCAGUUCUGAAAGGUAAAACCAGGGACCGUAAAGAUAUUGGAAUUGUUUUUAAAAGUGAAAUGAAUUCAUUCAUAUGUGUAAAGUUCUAGACCCCCAACACACAAUGUUAGAUGUGGGGGGGGCACAUAUCACAUCAAAGUCUAUACAAAUAAUACAUACAGUGAUUAAAUCAAAUUAAAAUGUUACU